GCCAAGACCCAUAAUUGGACGGUACUUGUUUAAUCAAUUCUCAAUUCUCAUUUCGUUGUUGAAUUUGUUUAAUUUUAUAGGCAUAUAUUGCCUUUUUUUUUUCUAUUUUAUUUUGUUGGACUUGUAUUGUAUUGAUUUCUGCUGCUUUUGCUUUCGUUGAUAUUCAAAAUUGGUUUCUUGUUGAUUAUGUUGAUUUAGUAAGAAACAGUUAUGAAUGCUAAGAUCCUGUAUAGUUUUGAGUGGUAAGUGAAUUCUUCACUGUGCUGUGCUAUUUGAAUGCUUUCUUUAUGAUUCACAAGCUUAGUGCUCAUGUAAGCUUUUACAGCAAUAUUUACCGGAUCUGAACUUUAAAAUUAUCAAAUUAGCUUUAUAUAUUUCUUAGGUCUCCAUUUUCAUUGGCACAUUGGAUGCUGUAUUUCAUGAUAGAAAGGCUAUCAUUUAAAAUUUAUCAUGUAUCAGGCUUUAUUGGUAUUUGAAGCUCUGUUUCACUAACCCUUCAGGUUUGGUGUUGUUUAUAAUUUUGCAUUUUUUCCUUUAUUUCUGAUAUCUUUUAUUCUAUUGCAGGUGGAGGGUUUUAUAAACUUUGCGACUAAUGUUUGUAGAUUUUCAUGUUUUAAGUGCUGUUGAAUCCUAUUUGAUAAAAUCUCUACAUUUCUGAUAAAUUUUUCCCAAUGUCAAAAAUUUCCUUCCCAAAAUUCAUUGAUAAUUGCGUAUAAUUUUCUUAUUUCCAUAACAAACAUCAUCAAAUUUUCUGCGUUUUCUUUUAAUUGUCCUCAAGUGAGGCUUGCAACUGGAUCUCUUUUAUCUCUAGCAUCUAAUUAUCAAAGCAACCUAGGGUAAGACUUAGAUAUACAUACAGAUAAAUUUCUUCUUUCCGUAACCAUUCAUGCUUGGUGUGCAUGCUUUUGUGGCUGUUCUAACAGUUAUAGGCCACAUGAUUAUAUAAACCUUUUGGAGCAAAAUAUAACAGAACUGCUGAGAUAUUGAUAACGAGAAAAGCUUAAUCCUGAAACCUUAUAUAUAUAUAUAUAUAU
This 1034-nucleotide unclassified non-coding RNA is filed under the name Hevea brasiliensis (rubber tree). The record is from RNAcentral. Lineage: Eukaryota; Viridiplantae; Streptophyta; Magnoliopsida; Malpighiales; Euphorbiaceae.